GGCCGUGUAGUACAGUUGGCAGAGUAUUGGGCUAGUAAUCCAAAGGUCGUAGGUUCGAUUCCCACCAUGGCCG
This 73-nucleotide transfer RNA is filed under the name Paramuricea clavata. It matches the Rfam family "tRNA". Rfam says of the family: Transfer RNA (tRNA) molecules are approximately 80 nucleotides in length. Their secondary structure includes four short double-helical elements and three loops (D, anti-codon, and T loops). Lineage: Eukaryota; Metazoa; Cnidaria; Anthozoa; Malacalcyonacea; Plexauridae. The record is from Rfam by way of RNAcentral.